RNAcentral lists this ribosomal RNA (440 nucleotides) under uncultured bacterium. RNAcentral's name for it is "partial 16S ribosomal RNA". It matches the Rfam family "Bacterial small subunit ribosomal RNA", at positions 338 to 795 of the family's 1533-position model. The record is from RNAcentral.
CCUACGGGUGGCAGCAGUGGGGAAUAUUGCACAAUGGGGGAAACCCUGAUGCAGCGACGCCGCGUGAGUGAAGAAGGAAUUCGUUAUGUAAAGCACUAUCAGCAGGGAAGAAACAGACGGUACCUGUGUAAGGAGCCCCGGCCAACUACGUGCCAGCAGCCGCGGGAAUACGGCGGGGGCGAGCGUUAUCCGGAUUUACUGGGUGUAACGGGAGCGGAGGCGGCGAAGCAAGUCCGAAGUGAAGGCCCGCGGCUUAACCGCGGAACUGCGUUGGAAAAUGGUUCGCUGGAGUAAGGUAGAGGUAGGCGGAAUGCCUGGUGUAGCGGUGAAAUGCGUAGAGAUUAGGAGGAACACCAGUGGCGAAGGCGGCUUACUGGACGAUAACUGACGUUGAGGCUCGAAAGCGUGGGGAGCAAACAGGAUUAGAUACCCUUGUAGUC